Molecule: ribosomal RNA, 407 nt
Filed under: uncultured Nocardioides sp.
Lineage: Bacteria; Bacillati; Actinomycetota; Actinomycetes; Propionibacteriales; Nocardioidaceae
Description: bacterial SSU rRNA
Rfam family: Bacterial small subunit ribosomal RNA
Source: RNAcentral
UGGGGAAUAUUGGACAAUGGGCGGAAGCCUGAUCCAGCAACGCCGCGUGAGGGAUGACGGCCUUCGGGUUGUAAACCUCUUUCAGCGCCGACGAAGCGAGAGUGACGGUAGGCGCAGAAGAAGCACCGGCCAACUACGUGCCAGCAGCCGCGGUAAUACGUAGGGUGCGAGCGUUGUCCGGAAUUAUUGGGCGUAAAGGGCUCGUAGGCGGUUUGUCGCGUCGGGAGUGAAAACCAGGUGCUUAACACCUGGCUUGCUUUCGAUACGGGCAGACUAGAGGCAUGCAGGGGAGAACGGAAUUCCUGGUGUAGCGGUGAAAUGCGCAGAUAUCAGGAGGAACACCGGUGGCGAAGGCGGUUCUCUGGGCAUGUCCUGACGCUGAGGAGCGAAAGUGUGGGGAGCGAACA